RNAcentral lists this ribosomal RNA (798 nucleotides) under uncultured bacterium. RNAcentral describes it as "bacterial SSU rRNA". It matches the Rfam family "Bacterial small subunit ribosomal RNA", at positions 36 to 813 of the family's 1533-position model. The record is from RNAcentral.
CGUGCGGGUGUCUUAGACUGCAGUCGGGCGGGGUGCAUCGUGGUAGCAAUAUCGUGGUGCACUUAGCGGCGAACGGGUGGGUAAUACAAGGGCAACCAUCCCUCAGGAGGGGCACAACCCACCGAAAGGUGGGCUAAUACCCCAUGUGCUGCGGCGAAGGCAUCUUUGCUGCAGAAAAGGCGCCGCAAGGUGCCACCUCUGGACGGGCUCUUGUUCUAUCAGCUUGAUGGCGGGGUAACGGCCCACCAUGGCGUAGACGGGUAGCCGGCGUGAGAGCGUGACCGGCCACAGGGGAACUGCGACACGGUCCCCACUCCUACGGGAGGCAGCAGUCUAGAAAUUUGGGCAAUGGGCGAAAGCCUGACCCAGCGACACCGCGUGGAGGAUGAAGUCCUUCGGGAUGUAAACUCCUGACAGGCGGAAAGAUGCCAUUUCGGAGUAACUGCCGAGAUGGUGACGGUACUGCCAAAGGAAGCCCCGGCUAACUACGUGCCAGCAGCCGCGGUAAUACGUAGGGGGCAAGCGCUGUCCGGAUUUACUGGGCGUAAAGGGUGUGCAGGCGGACUGGCGGGUCGAUGGUGAAAGCUCACGGCUCAACCGGGAAAGUGCUGUCGAAACUACCAGUCUAGAGGACGGAAGAGGAAACUGGAACUUCUGGUGUAGCGGUAAAAUGCGUAGAUAUCAGAAGGAACGCCAAUAGCGAAGGCAGGUUUCUGGGACGUUUCUGACGCUGAAACACGAAAGCUAGGGGAGCAAACAGGAUUAGAUACCCUGGUAGUCCUAGCUGUAAACGAUGAU